UCCGACUUGACGUCGGCAGUCUCCUUAGAGUUCCCAGCAUAACCUGAUGGCAACUAAGGACAAGGGUUGCGCUCGUUGCAGGACUUAACCUAACAUCUCACGACACGAGCUGACGACAGCCAUGCAGCACCUAUACUCCGCUCCCCGAAGGGAUAGCCCACUUUCAUGGGUUUACAGAGCACUUCGAGCCCAGGUAAGGUUCUUCGCGUUGCAUCGAAUUAAACCACAUGCUCCACCGCUUGUGCGGGCCCCCGUCAAUUCCUUUGAGUUUCACCCUUGCGAGCGUACUCCCCAGGUGGGUCACUUAAUGCGUUAGCGUCGUUGCCGAAGGGGUCGAAUCCCCCGACAACUAGUGACCAUCGUUUAUGGUGUGGACUAC
Molecule: unclassified non-coding RNA, 379 nt
Filed under: uncultured Chitinivibrionia bacterium
Lineage: Bacteria; Pseudomonadati; Fibrobacterota; Chitinivibrionia
Description: contains 16S-23S intergenic spacer region
Source: RNAcentral